CCUACGGGAGGCAGCAGUGAGGAAUAUUGGUCAAUGGGCGCGAGCCUGAACCAGCCAAGUCGCGUGAAGGAAGACGGUUCUAGGGUUGGUAAACCUCUUUUAUCGGGGAGCGUAGGACGCCACGCGUGUCGUUCCGGGAGUACCCGAAGAAGAAGCAUCGGCUAAACCCGUCCCAGCAGCCGCGGUAAUACGGAGGAUGCGAGCGUGAUCGGGUUGUAUUGGGUUAAAGGGGUGCGCAGUGGGAAGGUCAAGCAAUCGGUAAAAUUGCAGGGCUCAACCUGGUCGAGCCGUUGAAACUGGUUGUCUUGAGUGAGUGAGAGGUAGGCGGAAUGCGUGGUGUAGCGGUGAAAUGCAUAGAUAUCAGGAAGAACUCCGAUUGCGAAGGCAGCCUACUGGCGCACAACUGACGCUGAUGCACGAAAGCGUGGGUAUCGAACAGGAUUAGAUACCCUAGUAGUC
This 459-nucleotide ribosomal RNA is filed under the name uncultured bacterium. RNAcentral describes it as "partial 16S ribosomal RNA". It matches the Rfam family "Bacterial small subunit ribosomal RNA", at positions 338 to 795 of the family's 1533-position model. The record is from RNAcentral.